Molecule: long non-coding RNA, 1304 nt
Filed under: Sparus aurata (gilthead seabream)
Lineage: Eukaryota; Metazoa; Chordata; Actinopteri; Spariformes; Sparidae
Description: lncRNA (ENSSAUG00010008499.1)
Source: RNAcentral
GUCAAGUUCCUCGGUUACUGAUUGGCUGGGGGGUGAGAGAACAACAACAGGGAGUGACGCAAGAGUGUGUGGAGCAGUUCGUCAGUUUUCCGUGGUUCACCGUCUGUCCACCUGAUUACAGGAACGUUACUGCUGUAAAUGCACUAUGGUUAUCACUCUGGAGAAUGCCCAUCGACUCAGCCAUUGAGAAAGAUCACCAACUGCAAGAGCUUACACCGGAGAGCCUAAUGUCUUCAUCAAGAGACAUCAAGUGCUGGCAGGAGUAAGUGUGAGAAUUUCUGUAAGAAUAUAGUUUAACAGUUUUUCCAUCCGUGUUGGUUGCAAAAAAUCUGUGAUUCUAAAGUGCAUCACUGUUUACAGCAAAUCUCGAAGAGCCACACAAGAGCAAAGCUGUAGGAGAUAAAGAUUUUGAAUAUGUCCUCGCUACAAUCUGUUAGAUAUUACCUGUGAGGGGCAGCGCAUUUCCUGCAGGUUCGAUGCACACGGUAAUGUAUACAGUACUACACCACCAUGCCUAAAUUGUCAGCCACAGGGUUCUGUACUUGUACUUGUACUAUGUGUCAUUAUUUUUCAGCGGUAAUUUUUUCAUUUGCGCCGUCGCUAAUACUUGUCGCAUGUGCAUUGAAAGCUGAAAUGUGUUAAUCUAACAAUUAUAGGCUUUUACUUUGAAAGUGGAAUUGUCAAAUCCAACCUGUUACACUAGACUGGUUACACAUGUACGAAUGGUACAUGUGUUUUGGAGACUGACUUUGCGAUUUAGUUUUUUCCCUCUACAGGUUUUGCUGAGGAGUGUCUGUUCAGGGCCAAGUUGAGUGUGACCACAAGGCUGAUGGGUCCUGUGAUGUGUGCUACGUUUGUUUCUAUGUGAUGAACAAACAUCUAACACUCAUACCUUCCCUGGCUUUUGUUACAGAUGGCGUCAAUUGAUCAUGAAACUCCAUUUGGAAAUGUGUAAUUUGUUCUUAAACACAGCUGUUAACUGUUUGUUCGUUCAUCACCACAGGGUGGCUGUGGGUAACUGAUGUCACCACUUUGGUGUGAGCGCCCUCCUUGGGCCACGCUAGUUCAGUUCCUUCAGUCCGUGAGGAGGAACCCAAGACAGACAUAGAAAAAUUAUGCAUCUGAGUAUUUUAUACGAUUUUUCACCGUGUGGGAGAUCCUUGCUUACUUCAUAGUUAUACAAAAGAAGAUGACAGUGCAGAUUUAAUUGGAAUAAAAUACAGUCUAAUUAAUAUUUUUUGUUAUUUGUGUUAAUUUCGAAAUGAAAGGGUAUCUUUAAACCCAAGGUGCUCAGUAAACUUUGA